AGUGAACGCUGGCGGUAGGCCUAACACAUGCAAGUCGAACGGCAGCACAGUAAGAGCUUGCUCUUACGGGUGGCGAGUGGCGGACGGGUGAGGAAUACAUCGGAAUCUACUUUUUCGUGGGGGAUAACGUAGGGAAACUUACGCUAAUACCGCAUACGACCUACGGGUGAAAGCAGGGGAUCUUCGGACCUUGCGCGAUUGAAUGAGCCGAUGUCGGAUUAGCUAGUUGGCGGGGUAAAGGCCCACCAAGGCGACGAUCCGUAGCUGGUCUGAGAGGAUGAUCAGCCACAUUGGAAGUGGGACACGGUCCAGACUCCUACGGGAGGCAGCAGUGGGGAACAUGGGACAACGGGCGCAAGCCUGGUCCAGCGAUACCGCGUGGGUGAAGAAGGCCUUCGGGUUGUAAAGCCCUUUUGUUGGGAAAGAAAAGCAGCAGGUUAAUACCCCGCUGUUCUGACGGUACCCAAAGAAUAAGCACCGGCUAACUUCGUG
RNAcentral lists this ribosomal RNA (492 nucleotides) under uncultured bacterium. RNAcentral's name for it is "partial 16S ribosomal RNA". It matches the Rfam family "Bacterial small subunit ribosomal RNA", at positions 29 to 507 of the family's 1533-position model. The record is from RNAcentral.